CAGUAGCCGCGGGAAUACGAGGGGGGCAAGCGUUGUUCGGAUUUAUUGGGCGUAAAGGGUGCGUAGGCGGUUUGAUAAGUCAUCUGUGAAAUCUAUGGGCUCAACCCAUAGUCUGCAGGCGAAACUGUCGGGCUUGAGUAUUGGAGAGGUGAGUGGAAUUUCCGGUGUAGCGGUGAAAUGCGUAGAUAUCGGAAGGAACACCUGUGGCGAAAGCGGCUCACUGGACAAUAACUGACGCUGAGGCACGAAAGCUAGGGGAGCAAACAGGAUUAGAUACCCCUGUAGUCCCUGUCUCUUAUAC
RNAcentral lists this ribosomal RNA (301 nucleotides) under uncultured bacterium. RNAcentral describes it as "partial 16S ribosomal RNA". It matches the Rfam family "Bacterial small subunit ribosomal RNA", at positions 509 to 807 of the family's 1533-position model. The record is from RNAcentral.